RNAcentral lists this ribosomal RNA (469 nucleotides) under uncultured bacterium. RNAcentral's name for it is "partial 16S ribosomal RNA". It matches the Rfam family "Bacterial small subunit ribosomal RNA", at positions 28 to 507 of the family's 1533-position model. The record is from RNAcentral.
GACGAACGCUGGCGGCGUGCUUAACACAUGCAAGUCGAACGGAAAGGCCCUGCUUGCAGGGUGCUCGAGUGGCGAACGGGUGAGUAACACGUGGGUGAUCUGCCCCUUACUUUGGGAUAAGCCUGGGAAACUGGGUCUAAUACUGGAUAGGACCAUGCUGUAGGUGGUGUGGUGGAAAGAUUAGUUUCGGUAAGGGAUGAGCUCGCGGCCUAUCAGCUUGUUGGUGGGGUAAUGGCCUACCAAGGCGUCGACGGGUAGCCGGCCUGAGAGGGUGGACGGCCAGAUUGGGACUGAGAUACGGCCCAGACGCCUACGGGAGGCAGCAGUGGGGAAUAUUGCACAAUGGGCGCAAGCCUGAUGCAGCGACGCCGCGUGGGGGAUGACGGCCUUCGGGUUGUAAACUCCUUUCAGCCAUGACGAAGCCCUUGUGGUGACGGUAGUGGUAGAAGAAGCACCGGCUAACUACGUG